Molecule: long non-coding RNA, 1995 nt
Filed under: Triticum aestivum (bread wheat)
Lineage: Eukaryota; Viridiplantae; Streptophyta; Magnoliopsida; Poales; Poaceae
Description: long non-coding RNA (TAES_LNC015473)
Source: RNAcentral
AAAACGUCAUAACGAGCAAAGAAAUCCAUGCAGCAUCAAGGUAAUUAUUUUUGAAUAGUCCCACAUUACUCUACAUACAAUCAUACCAAUUUAUAUACGUCCUACAUGUAGCAAGCUAGAUGAAGGAUGGAUGGAUUAAGUUGUACGAAGGAUUCAUGGAUUGGUACGUUAACUAACUGGAAAAGGAACCUGAAUUUCUGAAAAUAUUCACAGUUUCUCAAAAAAUGUUUGUGUUUUCCAGAAUUGUUUGAAUUUUUAACAAUUUUCUUUAGUAAAAUGUUCUCAAAUUCAUAAUAAUUUUUGUGUUUAAAAAGCACAUUUUGUAAAAUUGUCCUGAAUGUUGAAAACAUCUUUCAGUUUUCAAAAACUGUUCACAAAAUUUUAAAAUAUCGAAGUCUAUAUAAAAGUUUUAUGUUUUCAAAAAAUAUUUGUGAAAUUAAAAAAUGUUCCUAUUUCAAAUUUUGUUCAUAUUUUCUGAACAAUGAAUGGAAUUUUCAGAAAAACUGUUCACAUCUUUAAAAUCUGUUCAGGAUUUCAACAAUUAUUCAUGUGUCCAAGAAUAUUUGGUUAUUCGUAAAAAAUAUUGUUUUUCAAAAAGGUAAAAAAUCAAAAAUUAUUUGAAAUCUGAUGCUGGAGUAUGUUCUUAAAUAUUGGCGCUAGCCAUUGGUUAGCAGGACGUGUUUGUUUGAGUGGUCGGCAGUACUUAGUCAAGUCUUUCAGGUCAUGAGUUCAAUCCUUCAACUCGUCUUUUUUUUGUAUUUUUACUCGCGCCUUACAAAGACAAGUCUUUCGGUGCCUGGGCCUUUCACAGCCCACGCAACUUAGCCAACCCAACUACCUGGGAAACAAGGCAAAACAUAUUUUAAAUAGUCUCACAUUGCUAUACUUUACAUGCAGUUGUACCAAUUUAUAUGCGUGUGUGCGAAACUACAUGUAGUAAGCAGGAUGAAGGAUGGACAGACUAGUACAUGAGCUAGCUGGAAAAGACCCUGAAUUUCUUUUAAAAAAGAAAAGAAAACCCGACUAAGUGAGCUAGAUACAUGAAAAAGAGAAGACCCGCCUCUUCCAUAUUAUGGAACUUCGUGCCUUCAAUCCCCAUGGGAAAACGGAUUGCAUAACUUGCGGGCAUUCUCUGACAUGUGAUGACCUAACAAAACCCAAGACCUAAAUGUUCAAACAUCAUACCUUAAUUCUUCUCGAUCAGUAAACGGAACAAUAGCGGAUUGAUUACUUCAGACGUGGCUAUACACUUAAUAUAUAGCUGUAUACCUGGGAUUUGAUAACAUACUCAAGCUUUAAGACGAGGGCAUAAGUUGUUUCUCGUACCCGUGCUAAUGUGGAAAAGAAACAGCUGACCGAUCAGGUGUACCUCUGUUUUUCAGUUAUGGACGGUCACAAUGCUGCAGACAAUGGCAAGCUAAAAAACCAAAAGACUAUAAUCUAUUUGAAGUUGGUCAUAAUACAGAACUUGAAAUAUGUCCUGGUGAUCAUGCAAAUGCAGAGAGUAAUACAUAUGUUGAUCAUGUGUUUUGCUCGGAACAAGAAACAAUACCGGAUAAGGACUUACUCAUCUAUAUCAUCAUCAUCGUCUGUAGAUCAUCCGUUGUUUGCAUACUGCACCUGCAUCUUCUUUCCACCAAGCACCCAAAUUACUUUCACUGCCAAACACAUCAAUCAGUGACAUGACAAAUUUACCAAAACAUCAUAACGAGCAAGGAAAUCCACGCAGCAUCAAGAUCCAGACGAGAUGAGCACAAUGCAGACGGAUCAAAUUGACAUGUAAAGACUGAAUGGAAGGCGAAACAGUUCAGUUUUCAGAUUCCGUUCAGCAACAACCCCGGAUCGAUAAGCGAUACUAACGACAACCAUGAACGAUUACAUACAGGACGCAAUUCGGAAACAUGACAGGCUCCCUCCGAUCCUAUGCAGCCAAGGCUCGCUACUCCUCAUCCGCGGCGGCGGUCUCCUCGGCGUUGGCGGUGUCCUCGGUGGCGG